Bradysia coprophila is the source of this 250-nucleotide long non-coding RNA. The record is from RefSeq and is a predicted model, not a curated record. NCBI's taxonomy places the organism in Eukaryota, Metazoa, Arthropoda, Insecta, Diptera, Sciaridae.
UUUCCUAAAGGAUAUGAAAGGGCCAAAAUAAACAAAAUAUUAAUGAUGAGCAGAGUGACUUUAAAAGAGAUUUCCUAAUCGAUAUUCUCCGCUACUUUGUCAAGAGUGUCAACAACUAUUCGUGCUUCAACAGAUAAAGCAUUUUUGUCGCCAUCGUUUGCGGCAACAAUUAAUCCACAAACGGCAUUCACGGCGGACAUAAAUGCCCCCUCCAACCAGCCACCCAAAUGGCUGUAACUGCAGUUAGCCA